This 752-nucleotide ribosomal RNA is filed under the name uncultured Glomus. RNAcentral's name for it is "SSU rRNA". It matches the Rfam family "Eukaryotic small subunit ribosomal RNA", at positions 338 to 1092 of the family's 1831-position model. The record is from RNAcentral. Lineage: Eukaryota; Fungi; Glomeromycota; Glomeromycetes; Glomerales; Glomeraceae.
GGCCUACCAUGGUGGUAACGGGUAACGGGGUGUUAGGGCACGACACCGGAGAGGGAGCCUGAGAAACGGCUACCACAUCCAAGGAUGGCAGCAGGCGCGCAAAUUACCCAAUCCCGACACGGGGAGGUAGUGACAAUAAAUAACAAUACGGGGUUCUUUCGGAUCUCGUAAUUGGAAUGAGUACAAUUUAAAUCUCUUAACGAGGAACAAUUGGAGGGCAAAUCUGGUGCCAGCAGCCGCGGUAAUUCCAGCUCCAAUAGCGUAUAUUAAAGUUGUUGCAGUUAAAAAGCUCGUAGUUGAAUUUCGGGAUCAAAUUGUCGGUCGUGCCUCGGUACGAACUGGUAUUAUUGGUUCCUACCUUCUGAAGAACCGCGAUGUCAUUAAUUUGGUGUCGUGGGAAAUCAGGACUGUUACUUUGAAAAAAUUAGAGUGUUUAAAGCAGGCUUACGCUUGAAUACAUUAGCAUGGAAUAAUGAAAUAGGACGUUUGAUUCUAUUUUGUUGGUUUCUAGGAUUGACGUAAUGAUUAAUAGGGAUAGUUGGGGGCAUUAGUAUUCAAUUGUCAGAGGUGAAAUUCUUGGAUUUAUUGAAGACUAACUACUGCGAAAGCAUUUGCCAAGGAUGUUUUCAUUAACCAAGAACGAAAGUUAGGGGAUCGAAGACGAUCAGAUACCGUCGUAGUCUUAACCAUAAACUAUGCCGACUAGGGAUCGGAUGAUGUUAAUUUUUUAAUGACUCAUUCGGCGCCUUACG